RNAcentral lists this long non-coding RNA (3117 nucleotides) under Homo sapiens (human). RNAcentral describes it as "HSALNT0371304". Lineage: Eukaryota; Metazoa; Chordata; Mammalia; Primates; Hominidae. The record is from RNAcentral.
AUGACAUCCGCCUGCAGUUCUGUGGUUAGACUAUGUAUUAGCUCAUGUAAUCCUCCUAAGAACAUUAUGGGGUAAGUACUAUUAUGCUCUCUAUUUGUACAGGUGAGAAAACUGUACUACAGAAAGGUGAGCACCUUGCCCAAAGUUACGCAGAAAGUGAAAAAACAAGAAUUCUAACCCAGACAAGUAAGUUGUAUAAGCAAAUGAGGCUAAUAGAGAUGCCAACCAGGUGUUCAAAGGGUUAUAGUUACUUCUGGAAGUGAGGUGAGGCUCUGUAAUAGCUAAGACGUGAACCUGGUUCUCCAGGGUAGAGACAAGAGGCAACAAGAGAAGGGACUCUGCAAAGAAACCAGCAAUAGGUUGGGAACACAGGGAUGGAGAGCAGCCACGAGUUUACCUAGGUUGAAUUUGGAAAGUCUGUGCAGAGAAAGAUGCAGGUCCCACUGGGCAUGGUGGCUCACACCUGUAAUCCCAGCACUUUGGGAGGCCGAGGCAGGCGGAUCACUUGAGCCCAGGAAUUUGAGACCAGCCUGGGCAACAUGGUGAGACCCCAUAUCUACAAAAACUACAAAAAUUAGCUGGGCAAGGUGGCAUGCACCUGUGGUCCCAGCUACUUGGGAGGGUGAGGUGGAAGAAUUGCUUGAGCCCAGGAGGUGGAGGUUGCAGUGAGCCAUGAUCAUGCCACUGUACUCUAGCCUGAGCAACAGAGUGAGACCCAGUCUCGGGAGAAAGAGGGAAAGAAAGAAGGGAGAGAGGGAGGGAGGUAGGGAAGGAAAGAAGGAAGGAAGGAAGGAAAAAGAAAGAAGAAAGAAGGAAGGAAGAAAGGAAGGAAGGAAGGAAGAAAGAAAGAGAAAGAAAGAAAGAAAGAAAGAAAGAAGAAAGAAAGAAAGAAAGAAAGAAAGAAAGAAAGAAAGAAAGAAAGAAAGAAAGAAAGAAAGAGAAAGAAAGAAUCAUGCAGCUCCCUUAUUCCCCAGGCAUUCACUGAGCACUUAGUGUGUCAUAUGCAGGCUUUUAGGUUUAGGGUCCUGGGCAAUGAUACAGACAAGACAAACAGAGUCUCCUCCUUCAUGGAACUUACAUGAGUGGGACGGACAACAAACAAAUGGUCCAGACGAUUUCAGAUAGUGAUGAGUGUUCGGAGAACACUAAGCAGAAUGAUCUGAGUUUGCAACGGGCAUUGCAAUGCCUGCUGGGCUCCUUACCCCUCAGGACCUUUCCACUGGCUGCUCUCAAAGGCUGAAUAACCUUUGCCCUGUUGCUGCAGGGCCAGAUUCUCUUCUUGCAGGAUUCCUUUGACUAAACUGUCACCUUGUCAAAGAGGUCUGAUGCCGACUAAAAGUUCUCUGUUACUGGGCGUGCAGAGAGAAGCCUAUUGUGGCUGUAAGGAUGGGUGAAGGAGAAGGGCACAAAGUGGACAGCAGAAGCAGGAGCUGUCACACAGGCCUGGCCCAUCAUGGUGGAGAGUUUGGAUUUCAUUCUAAGCCAAAUGGGAAGUCAUUUUUCUUCUAAGCACAAGAACAACAUGACUGAAUUUAUGCUUUAAAUGAGCCACUUUGACUGCCCAGUUUCUCAACCACAUAGUCGAUAGAUAUAUAGAUGUAUAGAUGGGUAGGUUGGUAGACAGACAGACAGACAGACAGACAGACAGACAGGCAGACAGAUAGAUGUAUAUGUAGGUAGAUAGGUAGAUAGAGAGAUGAAUAGGUAGGAAGGUAGAUAGAUAGAUACAUAGAUACAUAGAGAGGUGUAUAGGUAUAGGUAGGGAGGUAGAAAGAGAGAGAGAUGUAUAGGUAGGUAAGUAGAUAGAUGUAUAGACAGAUAGAUAUAUAGAUAGAUAUAGAGAUAGAUAGAUGAUAGAUAGAUAGAUAGAUAGAUAGAUGUCUAUAGGUAGGCAGUUAGGUAGAUGGAUGCACAGAAGGAUGGACAGAUGGAUGGAGGGAUGGAGGGAUAGAUAUAGAUAGAUUUGUGAAUAUAGAUACCUAUCUGUCUCUCUCUAGCUAGAGAUAAAAUAGACAAGUGGCUUCAUGCAUCAGUAGCAUUGAAAGACACCUCGAAUGUGGCCUUACUUCAAGGUGAUGGAAUUUCUUUUUAAGCUCAGCUUCUACUUCCCUUCUGAGGAAGUUCAUGACAGGGAGCUGCUGCAACUGAUGUGACUUUCAACUCUAAUAUCCCGAUGAUGUAAAUGCACUGAUCAGCUCAGCAGGAUUUAAGGUGAGAUCUCUACUCAGGAAGAAUUAUGAGAAACAUUUUAAAUUCUUUAGCCAUCAAUUUCACUGCCAGUUAAACUCCAUCCUCAGACGUGAAAAAAAUGGCCAGCAGGUAAUUUUUGAAGUGGUGAAACUGCACUAUUUCUAUAUUUACAACCAAACCACAUUUGAAAGGAUGUGUUUUUGGCUCCAAAAUCCUUUUUUGGCUCUGUCCACCACUGGGGCCGUAACAGGAUUUAUGAAGUGGAGAACCACAAAACUUACAUAGAUGGAGAAAUAUAGAUUUAGAUACAGAUGUAGAAUAUAUAAAGUAGAUAUAGCUGUAGAAUACACAAACACAAAUAUAAAUGAAGGUAUAAAUACAGAAAAGGUAUGCAUGUAGAUGUAGAAGACAGACACAGGAUAGAUAGGCAGGUAAAUUGAUAGAUGAUAGAUGAUAGAUAGGUAGAUAGAUAGAUAGAUAGAUAGAUAGAUAGAUAGAUAGAUAGAUGAUAGAUAUAGAAAUGUGAAUGUAUAGAAGAGACAUAAAUGUAGAUAUAGAAUGGAUGUCAUUUUUGUGCUUAUGAGCCCCGCCAUUCACCUGCCCCUUUAUCUGCCCCCAAAAGAGCAAUAUUAGGGAGUAUAUAAAUAUUGUAAAUAAAGCAGAUAAAAGUAGAAAGAUGUUAAAAUCUCAGAGACAAUCACCAACUGCUAAAAGAUUCUCAAUGGAAAAACAAAUCGUAAAACAAAAAGCUGUGUUUUGCAUGAAAUUAGCUGGUUAAAUUAGCCUGAAAGAUUUACAAACCUCACCCACCUGUCUUAGAAAGAAUAUUCCAUAGAGAUAUUUGGUUACUACCUGGUUCCAACUCAUUUUCCUGGGUCAGAAACUGAUUUCUACUUUUAAGAAUUGACUUCUCUAUAGGAAGGUCCA